RNAcentral lists this ribosomal RNA (402 nucleotides) under uncultured bacterium. RNAcentral describes it as "bacterial SSU rRNA". It matches the Rfam family "Bacterial small subunit ribosomal RNA", at positions 355 to 774 of the family's 1533-position model. The record is from RNAcentral.
UGGGGAAUAUUGGACAAUGGGCGCAAGCCUGAUCCAGCCAUGCCGCGUGAGUGAUGACGGCCUUAGGGUUGUAAAGCUCUUUCACCCACGACGAUAAUGACGGUAGUGGGAGAAGAAGCCCCGGCUAACUUCGUGCCAGCAGCUGCGGUAAUACGAAGGGGGCUAGCGUUGUUCGGAAUCACUGGGCGUAAAGCGUACGUAGGCGGAUCGUUAAGUCAGAGGUGAAAUCCCGGAGCUCAACUUCGGAAUUGCCUUUGAUACUGGCGAUCUUGAGUUCGGGAGAGGUGAGUGGAACUGCUAGUGUAGAGGUGAAAUUCGUAGAUAUUAGCAAGAACACCAGUGGCGAAGGCGGCUCACUGGCCCGAUACUGACGCUGAGGUACGAAAGCGUGGGGAGCAAACA